GCACACAGCGGAGUUUCGUUUCCCUAAUGAAAGUUUUAAUUUGGGAUCUGUUCUUUAACACGAGAAAGGAGAAGCGCAAGUACAGUAGUACGAGACGGGGAUACCAAGAAAGAAUACGCAGUUUUAUUCGUGCACAUGACAAUACAAUAGCUCUGAAGGGCGACAGAACGACGCCGAUCCUGACAUAAUAAUGAUGGCGGAGGCCGACGCGGAAGAGAACGUGUACCGCGAGGCUGUGGCGGAGUCGCCUGUUGCGCCACCGAAUGGCGAUAUUAACAUUGACGAACUGUUACCCGACGGUCCUCAUGGGAAUAUUCAAGGACAGAUGGAGGAGUUCCUGGGCCCCCAGCCUGAGUACGAUGAGGAAGAGGAGGAGAAGAAGUUACAGGAGGAAGAAGCUGGGCGU
This is a long non-coding RNA of Oncorhynchus masou masou (cherry salmon), 406 nucleotides long. RefSeq lists it as uncharacterized. Lineage: Eukaryota; Metazoa; Chordata; Actinopteri; Salmoniformes; Salmonidae. The transcript is spliced from 3 exons. The record is from RefSeq and is a predicted model, not a curated record.